CUUGCGGUUCUCCACAGGGCUCAGGAAAGGCUGAGAGGAUUUCUUAUGUCAGGAGGCAUAGUUUUUGCAAUUUCUUAGGAAAGUUGGGCUGUGGGAUGGCCCAGCCAGAAUCUAUUAUACUUUAAACUUGAAACAUGCUUCCCAAAGAAGAAAGAAAAGCAAAACAAUUAAACAGAAACCGAGACAAUAAUACUAAUAAUAAAUGGACUUCUACUUUUUCAGAGACAGCUCGUGUUCUAUUGACUGAUUAGUGCCUGGGGUGAUACUCACAGCCUCAAAACCAUAUUCUCAGAGAAGGUAAAGCAGUGUCUACAUUACAACCAAAAACGGAAUUCAGCCGCAAGGUUGAAGGAAAGGCCAAUGCAAGCAAACCAUUUUAUUUGACAUCAUAAAUUUAUCUUCUGCUUUAUACUCCUCCCUUUAAAAAAAAAAAAAGCAAACUAAACUAUCGAAAGACGUUAGGCAAAAGUCACACGCUAACAUCAGCAGUUUCCAAAGUUUAUUAACUUCUGAGUAAAGCAACUGCUUGGAAGUGUUUGAGUGUCUUUAAUCCCCAUGAAAUCUUUUCACUGAAACCUUGGAGCUCUGCAAUUCUGAAAGCGUGUGUCAAGAUGGAACUUCCAUCAAUCUGGGGCUCUAAGUAAUGGUGAUGAGCAGAACCUUCUUGCCCACCUACAGUAGAUAUUUAGCAUAUGUGAGAAAUAUGCUCUGCUGGGUUAAGCAAAAAGAACAAGAAGCAAGCAAAAAACCAAACAGACUGUGGCUUUCAUCAUGGUCUCUCUCUCUUGGAUCACACACUCUGGGGGAAGCUACCUGCCACUUCGUGAAGACACUCAGGCAGCUUAUGAAGAGGCAGAGUGGUCAGAGACUGAAGUAUUUGGCCAAUAGCCCAUGUGGGAUAGAGACCUGCCAACAACUGCAGGAGUGAGCUGAGAAGCUCUUCCUAUAGUCAAGCCUUCAGAUGAUGGCAGUCUUAAGAGAAACCUGGAGUCAGAACAACCCAGCUAAGCCACGCCCAGAUUCCUGACCUCCAGAAACUGCAUGAGAUAACAAAUGCUGGCCAUUUAAAGCUGCUAAAUUUGGGGGUAACUUGUUACACAACAAAAAAUAACUAAUACACACUGGCAGGGCCACAGUAUGACUUUUGUGGGCCCCAGGCACCUUUGCCUUUGUAGGUGUCUUCCUCCAAAAAUAUUAAAAGUUCUAUUUGUGACCAUGUUGAUAUAAAGACAAAUAUGAUCCAGACUGGAUUCAUUAUUAUAUAUUCAUUAUCAUUAUAUCCACUUUUGUCUUCUGAUUUUAAAAGAAAUAAAAGUUAAAACAUUUUUGUAGGCCCUGAAGUAUAGGGGCCUAGACACUGUGCCUUCCAUGUCAGAUGGAUGUCAGCCCUGCACAUGGGAAGAGCAUGGGAGGGACAUGCAGUUACUGAUGAAAGCUGAAUACCGAAGAAUUGGUUACUGGCCCUGACAGUCCUCAAGUUCAAGGAAGAAGCCAAAUACCUGGGAAUACUUAGUAUUUGGGAAAAAUCCUAUCCUCUGUGGAUCCUAUUGGGUCCUAUAUCUCAGGUAACCAGGGGAACUGAGUGCAAGCUGCUCUAAGUUAUUACUAAAAGGCAAUGACAUGACCUGCACUUGUUGGGUCCAAACCACACAGGAUCCCAUGAAAGCUGGUGUAUCAGCUAUGACUAUUCAGGUGACGUGGGCUGUGUAACACUGGGUUCUGGACUCAAUCUCUUCCUGAAGCUGAUGUCUCAUACUCACAAUUUGAAUUAAAUCUGGAGGCAGUAAAGUCUUUUGAUUCACAGACACAGAAUCUAGCAGGCUUGAGUUUAAAUCCUACCUGUGGUCCUUCCUGGCUGUGUUGUCUUUGGCAAUUUUUCAACCUCAAGCCUAAAGUUUCUCCAUCUACAGUAUACAUUCCACCAGUCAACAGCAUAAAACAUGGCCCCCCAAAAUGGCAAGUGGUUCCAUCCCAUAGACUAUCUUCAAAGUCAAAAGAGUUGUUACAAAAUUGGAGUGAGGGAUUAGAUAGUUCCACCUGAUGAAACGAUUAUAAAUAUAUGAAGUCUAUGAAGGAAAUGAUAACAUAUUACUGAAGGACGUGAAAGAAGAUCUGAAUAAAGGGACAGAUGUACUAUGUUGAUUCAGGAAAACACUCCAUU
RNAcentral lists this long non-coding RNA (2161 nucleotides) under Equus caballus (horse). RNAcentral's name for it is "lncRNA (ENSECAG00000059855.1)". The record is from RNAcentral. Lineage: Eukaryota; Metazoa; Chordata; Mammalia; Perissodactyla; Equidae.